RNAcentral lists this ribosomal RNA (292 nucleotides) under uncultured bacterium. RNAcentral describes it as "partial 16S ribosomal RNA". It matches the Rfam family "Bacterial small subunit ribosomal RNA", at positions 505 to 796 of the family's 1533-position model. The record is from RNAcentral.
GUGUCAGCAGCCGCGGUAAUACGUGGGGUGCAAGCGUUGUUCGGAAUUACUGGGCGUAAAGCGUGUGUAGGCGGCUCGUUAAGUCUGGUGUGAAAUCUCCGAGCUUAACUCGGAAACUGCAUCGGAAACUGGCGAGCUCGAGUCCGGGAGAGGGUGGUGGAAUUCCUGGUGUAGAGGUGAAAUUCGUAGAUAUCAGGAGGAACACCGGUGGCGAAGGCGGCCACCUGGACCGGUACUGACGCUGAGACACGAAAGCGUGGGGAGCAAACAGGAUUAGAAACCCCCGUAGUCC